GUCGGGCUGGCCGAGCGGCCAGGCAACGGUCUGCAAAACCGUGCAGACGGGUUCGACUCCCGUGCCCGCUU
RNAcentral lists this transfer RNA (71 nucleotides) under Bifidobacterium boum. Its description in RNAcentral is "tRNA-Cys". It matches the Rfam family "tRNA". Rfam says of the family: Transfer RNA (tRNA) molecules are approximately 80 nucleotides in length. Their secondary structure includes four short double-helical elements and three loops (D, anti-codon, and T loops). The record is from RNAcentral. Lineage: Bacteria; Bacillati; Actinomycetota; Actinomycetes; Bifidobacteriales; Bifidobacteriaceae.